RNAcentral lists this ribosomal RNA (492 nucleotides) under uncultured bacterium. Its description in RNAcentral is "partial 16S ribosomal RNA". It matches the Rfam family "Bacterial small subunit ribosomal RNA", at positions 29 to 507 of the family's 1533-position model. The record is from RNAcentral.
AGUGAACGCUGGCGGUAGGCCUAACACAUGCAAGUCGAACGGCAGCACAGUAAGAGCUUGCUCUUACGGGUGGCGAGUGGCGGACGGGUGAGGAAUACAUCGGAAUCUACUUUUUCGUGGGGGAUAACGUAGGGAAACUUACGCUAAUACCGCAUACGACCUACGGGUGAAAGCAGGGGAUCUUCGGACCUUGCGCGAUUGAAUGAGCCGAUGUCGGAUGAGCUAGUUGGCGGGGUAAAGGCCCACCAAGGCGACGAUCCGUAGCUGGUCUGAGAGGAUGAUCAGCCACACUGGAACUGAGACACGGUCCAGACUCCGACGGGAGGCAGCAGUGGGGAAUAUGGGACAAUGGGCGCAAGCCUGAUCCAGCCAUACCGCGUGGGUGAAGAAGGCCUUCGGGUUGUAAAGCCCUUUUGUUGGGAAAGAAAAGCAGCAGGUUAAUACCCCGCUGUUCUGACGGUAGCCAAAGAAUAAGCACCGGCUAACUUCGUG